ACAAAAGCAACGAUCAGGACACGGUUUUCUUAGUCCGGUAUUCUUUCAGAGAGCUGGCGGUUGGUGUGAGUCAGCAGAUACUUAAGAAAAUUAUCCCCUGUGAGCUUUUCGGACGAAACAGAUUCAUUAGUCCGAAACGGAUUCUCACCGUUACAGGAGAGCAUGUUCACCGAUGAUAGAGAGAAUCGGGGACGUGGCAGAGUGAUCGAUUGAAAAACCGAUAAUAGAAGUGGUAACGCGGAGUCAUAGGCUUCGUCUUCUGA
RNAcentral lists this non-coding RNA (263 nucleotides) under Pseudocoprococcus catus. RNAcentral describes it as "Coprococcus catus T-box sequence". It matches the Rfam family "T-box leader". Rfam says of the family: Uncharged tRNA acts as the effector for transcription antitermination of genes in the T-box leader family. T-boxes are found upstream of many aminoacyl-tRNA synthetase genes and some amino acid biosynthetic genes usually in Gram-positive bacteria. The anticodon of a specific tRNA base pairs to a specifier sequence within the T-box motif, and the NCCA acceptor tail of the tRNA base pairs to a conserved bulge in the T-box antiterminator hairpin. The record is from RNAcentral. Lineage: Bacteria; Bacillati; Bacillota; Clostridia; Lachnospirales; Lachnospiraceae.